This 256-nucleotide ribosomal RNA is filed under the name uncultured bacterium. Its description in RNAcentral is "partial 16S ribosomal RNA". It matches the Rfam family "Bacterial small subunit ribosomal RNA", at positions 521 to 776 of the family's 1533-position model. The record is from RNAcentral.
UAAUACGAAGGGGGCUAGCGUUGUUCGGAAUCACUGGGCGUAAAGCGCACGUAGGCGGAUCUUUAAGUCAGGGGUGAAAUCCCGAGGCUCAACCUCGGAACUGCCUUUGAUACUGGGGAUCUCGAGUUCGGGAGAGGUGAGUGGAACUGCGAGUGUAGAGGUGAAAUUCGUAGAUAUUCGCAAGAACACCAGUGGCGAAGGCGGCUCACUGGCCCGAUACUGACGCUGAGGUGCGAAAGCGUGGGGAGCAAACAGG